CCUACGGGAGGCAGCAGUGGGGAAUUUUGGACAAUGGGCGCAAGCCUGAUCCAGCAAUGCCGCGUGCAGGAUGAAGGCCUUCGGGUUGUAAACUGCUUUUGUACGGAACGAAACGGUGAGCUCUAAUACAGUUUGCUAAUGACGGUACCGUAAGAAUAAGCACCGGCUAACUACGUGCCAGCAGCCGCGGUAAUACGUAGGGUGCGAGCGUUAAUCGGAAUUACUGGGCGUAAAGCGUGCGCAGGCGGUGAUGUAAGACAGAUGUGAAAUCCCCGGGCUCAACCUGGGACCUGCAUUUGUGACUGCAUCGCUAGAGUACGGUAGAGGGGGAUGGAAUUCCGCGUGUAGCAGUGAAAUGCGUAGAUAUGCGGAGGAACACCGAUGGCGAAGGCAAUCCCCUGGACCUGUACUGACGCUCAUGCACGAAAGCGUGGGGAGCAAACAGGAUUAGAUACCCUGGUAGUCCACGCCCUAAACGAUGUCAACUGGUUGUUGGGUCUUCACUGACUCAGUAACGAAGCUAACGCGUGAAGUUGACCGCCUGGGGAGUCGGCCGCAAGGUUGAACUUAAGGAAUUGACGGNNGAGAGNGCGAGGACGACGACGAGGGAGGAG
Molecule: ribosomal RNA, 614 nt
Filed under: uncultured bacterium
Lineage: Bacteria
Description: bacterial SSU rRNA
Rfam family: Bacterial small subunit ribosomal RNA
Source: RNAcentral